RNAcentral lists this long non-coding RNA (236 nucleotides) under Brachypodium distachyon (stiff brome). Its description in RNAcentral is "long non-coding RNA (BDIS_LNC004997)". Lineage: Eukaryota; Viridiplantae; Streptophyta; Magnoliopsida; Poales; Poaceae. The record is from RNAcentral.
GAGCAGGGGGUCAAGGCAGGGAGGGAGCCUGUUUCUGCAAAUGCUGAUAAACUACCUUGAUGUAUUUGAUAUGUGCUAGCACUGUAUUUAAUAGUGGUAAAAAUAUUCAGGUCUCAUGAUUCCAAUCCUAAGAUGUCAAGGCAAUUUUCCGUGCUAGAUAUUUUUGCUCACCGGAGUAUUGUAUAUACUGAUGCAAAUUGUACAUUAACUAGGCGGAAUACAACUUUAUUGCACUG